RNAcentral lists this ribosomal RNA (839 nucleotides) under Panorpodes paradoxus. Its description in RNAcentral is "partial 16S rRNA". The record is from RNAcentral. Lineage: Eukaryota; Metazoa; Arthropoda; Insecta; Mecoptera; Panorpodidae.
GAAGGUGUAUCUAGAAAGACAAAUUAGAGCUUGGAAAGUAAAGCAUUUCAUUUACAUUGAAAAGUAUAUUGUGUAAUUCAAUUUAAUUUGAUAAUAAUAAAAAUUUAUUAAUUUUUUUUGUUUAAAAAUUUAUUUAAUAAAAUUAAUUUUAGAUUGAUUUUUUUUUGUAUAGUAUAUAGGUCAAAUAAUUUAUAUAAUAGUUAAUUAGUAUUGUAAAAGAAUAUUGAAAUAUAUGAAAAAGUUUUAAAUUAAAAGUAAAUUUUAUAUAUUGUACCUUGUGUAUCAGGGUUUAUUAAUUAAAAGUUAAAAAUUAAAUUUUUCUCGAAUUUAAGAGGGUUAAUUUAUUAUUUAAUUUUUUGUUUCAUAAAAAUUUAAAAUAAUAAAUUAGAAAUGAAACGUUAUUCGUUCUUAAAUAUAUCUAGUUUUUUAAGAAAUAAAUUAAAUUUAGAUUAUUAAUAGAUAAUUAGUUAUUUAAAUAAUAAAUUAUUAUUAAUAGUUAAUAUUUUAGGGGAUAAGCUUUAAAGUAAAUUUUAUAAUAAUUUUUUAAUUUGAAAAUUAUAGAUUUAGAAAUAGUCAUUAAUUGUAAAAAUGUUAUAAUUUAUUUUAAAUUAAAAAUAAUUUUUAUUAAUUUAAGUUUUUAUUAAAAUAAUUUUUAAAAUUAUAUAAGAAUUAAAAUAAUGAUAAAAUUAGUAUAUUUAAUUGUUUUAAAAAUAUUAAUUGAAAGGUUAAAUUAAGGAACUUGGCAAAUAAAUACUCGCCUGUUUAACAAAAACAUGUCUUUUUGAAUAUAAUUUAAAGUCUAAUCUGCCCACUGAAAAAUUUUAAAGGGCCGCGGUAUU